UAGGGAAUCUUCCACAAUGGACGAAAGUCUGAUGGAGCAACGCCGCGUGAGUGAAGAAGGGUUUCGGCUCGUAAAACUCUGUUGUUAAAGAAGAACAUAUCUGAGAGUAACUGUUCAGGUAUUGACGGUAUUUAACCAGAAAGCCACGGCUAACUACGUGCCUG
This 164-nucleotide ribosomal RNA is filed under the name uncultured bacterium. RNAcentral's name for it is "partial 16S ribosomal RNA". It matches the Rfam family "Bacterial small subunit ribosomal RNA", at positions 355 to 511 of the family's 1533-position model. The record is from RNAcentral.